ACUCUUGGAAACGAGAGCUAAUACCCGAUACGCUGUGGAGUGAAAGAAUUUCGCCGAGGGAUGAUCUUGCGUCUGAUUAGCUAGUUGGUGUGGUAAUGGCACACCAAGGCGACGAUCAGUAGCUGGUCUGAGAGGAUGGACAGCCACAUUGGAACUGAGACACGGUCCAAACUCCUACGGGAGGCAGCAGUGGGGAAUUUUCCGCAAUGGACGCAAGUCUGACGGAGCGACGCUGCGUGAAGGAUGACGGCCCGCGGGUUGUAAACUUCUUUUCUCGAAGAAGAAACAAAUGACGGUAUUCGAGGAAUAAGCAUCGGCUAACUCCGUGCCAGCAGCCGCGGUAAGACGGAGGAUGCAAGUGUUAUUCGGAAUGAUUGGGCGUAAAGAGUCUGUAGGCCGUAUAGAAAGUCUUUUGUUAAAUGCCUCGGCUCAACCGAGAUCCAGCAAAGGAAACUUCUAUACUUGAGGGAAGUAGAGGUACAGGGAAUUCCCGGUGGAGCGGUGAAAUGCGUANAUAUCGGGAGGAACAC
This 530-nucleotide ribosomal RNA is filed under the name uncultured bacterium. Its description in RNAcentral is "bacterial SSU rRNA". It matches the Rfam family "Bacterial small subunit ribosomal RNA", at positions 146 to 709 of the family's 1533-position model. The record is from RNAcentral.